This 431-nucleotide ribosomal RNA is filed under the name uncultured bacterium. RNAcentral describes it as "bacterial SSU rRNA". It matches the Rfam family "Bacterial small subunit ribosomal RNA", at positions 355 to 796 of the family's 1533-position model. The record is from RNAcentral.
UCGAGGAUCUUCGGCAAUGGGCGCAAGCCUGACCGAGCGACGCCGCGUGUGCGAAGAAGGCCUUCGGGUUGUAAAGCACUGUCGAGGGGGAGGAAGCCGCAAGGUUGACCUAUCCCUGGAGGAAGCACGGGCUAAGUUCGUGCCAGCAGCCGCGGUAAGACGAACCGUGCGAACGUUGUUCGGAAUCACUGGGCUUAAAGGGCGCGUAGGCGGGUCGGCAAGUCCGGGGUGAAAUCCUCCAGCUCAACUGGAGAAGUGCCUUGGAUACUGCCGGUCUCGAGGGAGGUAGGGGUAUGUGGAACUUCUGGUGGAGCGGUGAAAUGCGUUGAUAUCAGAAGGAACGCCGGUGGCGAAAGCGACGUACUGGACCUCUUCUGACGCUGAGGCGCGAAAGCUAGGGGAGCAAACGGGAUUAGAUACCCGGGUAGUCC